Molecule: unclassified non-coding RNA, 338 nt
Filed under: soil metagenome
Description: partial contains 5.8S ribosomal RNA, internal transcribed spacer 2, and large subunit ribosomal RNA
Rfam family: 5.8S ribosomal RNA (bases 2-119)
Source: RNAcentral
GUGAAGAACGCAGCGAAAUGCGAUACGUAGUGUGAAUUGCAGAAUUCAGUGAAUCAUCGAAUCUUUGAACGCACAUUGCACCUCUCGGUAUUCCGGGAGGUAUGCCUGUUCGAGCGUCAUUUGUACCCUCAAGCUCUGCUUGGUGUUGGGUGUUUGUUCCGCCUCUGUGUGUGAACUCGCCUCAAAACAAUUGGCAGCCGGCGUACUUGUUUCGGAGCGCAGCACAUUUUGCGAUCCAGAUCAACGUACAGCGGCAUCCAAGAAGCCUUAUUUAACGCUCUUGACCUCGGAUCAGGUAGGGAUACCCGCUGAACUUAAGCAUAUCAAUAAGCGGAGGA